AUUGAACGCUGGCGGCAGGCCUAACACAUGCAAGUCGAACGGUAACAGGAAGCAGCUUGCUGCUUCGCUGACGAGUGGCGGACGGGUGAGUAAUGUCUGGGAAACUGCCUGAUGGAGGGGGAUAACUACUGGAAACGGUAGCUAAUACCGCAUAACGUCGCAAGACCAAAGAGGGGGACCUUCGGGCCUCUUGCCAUCGGAUGUGCCCAGAUGGGAUUAGCUAGUAGGUGGGGUAACGGCUCACCUAGGCGACGAUCCCUAGCUGGUCUGAGAGGAUGACCAGCCACACUGGAACUGAGACACGGUCCAGACUCCUACGGGAGGCAGCAGUGGGGAAUAUUGCACAAUGGGCGCAAGCCUGAUGCAGCCAUGCCGCGUGUAUGAAGAAGGCCUUCGGGUUGUAAAGUACUUUCAGCGGGGAGGAAGGGAGUAAAGUUAAUACCUUUGCUCACUGACGUUACCCGCAGAAGAAGCACCGGCUAACUCCGUGCCAGCAGCCGCGGUAAUACGGAGGGUGCAAGCGUUAAUCGGAAUUACUGGGCGUAAAGCGCACGCAGGCGGUUUGUUAAGUCAGAUGUGAAAUCCCCGGGCUCAACCUGGGAACUGCAUCUGAUACUGGCAAGCUUGAGUCUCGUAGAGGGGGGUAGAAUUCCAGGUGUAGCGGUGAAAUGCGUAGAGAUCUGGAGGAAUACCGGUGGCGAAGGCGGCCCCCUGGACGAAGACUGACGCUCAGGUGCGAAAGCGUGGGGAGCAAACAGG
This 759-nucleotide ribosomal RNA is filed under the name uncultured Enterobacteriaceae bacterium. RNAcentral's name for it is "bacterial SSU rRNA". It matches the Rfam family "Bacterial small subunit ribosomal RNA", at positions 28 to 776 of the family's 1533-position model. The record is from RNAcentral. Lineage: Bacteria; Pseudomonadati; Pseudomonadota; Gammaproteobacteria; Enterobacterales; Enterobacteriaceae.